GGGGGAAUAUUGCACAAUGGGCGAAAGCCUGAUGCAGCCAUGCCGCGUGUGUGAAGAAGGCCUUAGGGUUGUAAAGCACUUUCAGUAGGGAGGAAAGGAGCGUAGUUAAUAGCUGCGUUCUGUGACGUUACCUACAGAAGAAGGACCGGCUAACUCCGUGCCAGCAGCCGCGGUAAUACGGAGGGUCCAAGCGUUAAUCGGAAUUACUGGGCGUAAAGCGCGCGUAGGCGGUUAGUUAAGCUAGAUGUGAAAGCCCCGGGCUCAACCUGGGAACUGCAUUUAGAACUGGCUGACUAGAGUGCAGCAGAGGGUAGUGGAAUUUCUAGUGUAGCGGUGAAAUGCGUAGAUAU
Molecule: ribosomal RNA, 350 nt
Filed under: uncultured bacterium
Lineage: Bacteria
Description: bacterial SSU rRNA
Rfam family: Bacterial small subunit ribosomal RNA
Source: RNAcentral